ACGUGAAGCCCGGGCUUGCCCGGGUGGAAAGUGGCGAACGGGUGCGUAACACGUGAGCAACCUGCCCCGAAGACCGGGAUAACAGCGGGAAACCGCUGCUAAUACCGGAUGCCCUCAUCAUGUCGCAUGGCGAGAUGAGGAAAUGGAUUCCGCUUCGGGAUGGGCUCGCGGUCUAUCAGCUUGUUGGUGAGGUAACGGCUCACCAAGGCUACGACGGAUAGCUGGUCUGAGAGGAUGUCCAGCCACACUGGGACUGAGACACGGCCCAGACUCCUACGGGAGGCAGCAGUGGGGAAUCUUGCACAAUGGGCGAAAGCCUGAUGCAGCGACGCCGCGUGCGGGAUGACGGCCUUCGGGUUGUAAACCGCUUUCAGCAGGGACGAUUAUGACGGUACCUGCAGAAGAAGCCCCGGCCAACUACGUGCCAGCAGCCGCG
This 436-nucleotide ribosomal RNA is filed under the name uncultured soil bacterium. RNAcentral describes it as "bacterial SSU rRNA". It matches the Rfam family "Bacterial small subunit ribosomal RNA", at positions 66 to 519 of the family's 1533-position model. The record is from RNAcentral.